RNAcentral lists this ribosomal RNA (360 nucleotides) under Triticum aestivum (bread wheat). Its description in RNAcentral is "partial small subunit ribosomal RNA". The record is from RNAcentral. Lineage: Eukaryota; Viridiplantae; Streptophyta; Magnoliopsida; Poales; Poaceae.
AUGCAUCGUCCAGAUGCAGAGGCCAGGGGUACAUCCUCCUUUUGUAAAAAAAAACGCAAGAACUUCAACAAGCACGUCAAAGGUAGCGUUGGGCCGUUCGGGCUCUGGCUGCUGGCCUCCAACGACCUCAAGGAGAGGACGGCCGUCUUCUUCAGGGUGUUCAAGACCAACGACACCAACUACGUCGUCCUCAUGUGCAAUGACCCGACAAGGUCGUCAUAUGAGUCGCAGAUCUACAGGCCGACCUUUGCCAGCUUCGUCAACAUCGACAUAGCCAAGACCAAGAAGAUCGCCCUCAGGACAUUGAUUGACCAUUCUGUGUGGAGAGCUCCGGGGCCGGCGGCAGGACGUGCAUCCUGA